This 253-nucleotide ribosomal RNA is filed under the name uncultured bacterium. RNAcentral describes it as "partial 16S ribosomal RNA". It matches the Rfam family "Bacterial small subunit ribosomal RNA", at positions 524 to 776 of the family's 1533-position model. The record is from RNAcentral.
UACGUAUGGUGCAAGCGUUAUCCGGAUUUACUGGGUGUAAAGGGAGCGCAGGCGGCGCGGCAAGUCCGAUGUGAAAACCCCCGGCUCAAUCGGGGGACUGCAUUGGAAACUACCGGGCUGGAGUGCCGGAGAGGUAGGCGGAAUUCCUGGUGUAGCGGUGAAAUGCGUAGAUAUCAGGAGGAACACCAGUGGCGAAGGCGGCCUACUGGACGGUGACUGACGCUGAGGCUCGAAAGCGUGGGGAGCAAACAGG